Herpailurus yagouaroundi (jaguarundi) is the source of this 611-nucleotide long non-coding RNA. RefSeq lists it as uncharacterized. The record is from RefSeq and is a predicted model, not a curated record. Lineage: Eukaryota; Metazoa; Chordata; Mammalia; Carnivora; Felidae. The transcript has 3 exons.
UUGUAAUAAAAAGAAAAAGAAAUUUGGCUUGGGGAGGAUUUGGGCUAUUGUAAGUUCCUGAGAUGAUUUUUUUUCCCACUAUGUUCAGAAUCCUUACAGAUAUAUAAGAUAGUAUUUACCACAUUAUGCUGCAAUAACCAACAGCUUCUGAAAUCCAGCAACAAAAGUUUGUAAAUUUUUAUUUCCUGUUUAUUUUAUAUUUAGGUUGUGGUAGCUGCACAUUAACUGUGACCCUGCUCCACAUACAUUCUUCAACCCAGAACCUAAGGAGAAGAAGCAGCCUUUCCUUGCUACAUAUCUUUCUCAUUGCAGAAGAAAAUGAAGACGGUUGAAUCGUACAUGACUCAAAACUUCAGACAUGACCUGCUGAACUGCACAGCUCUAAGGACUAUAUGAGCCAGGCUUCAGCUGGCUGCUGACCAGAGUUUCAGUAUGAAGCAAGUGCUCAUUAAGCACAACGAAGUUCAGACAUGAAUCCACUUCCUCAAAACCCACCUGUGAGCACAGUCAUCUCAUUUCCAAGCAACGAUUAGUUUCUGGUCAGUAUCUGGUACCAAAGGUCUGUGGAUCUGCCAUGGCAUCAUCAUUAAGCUAUCAGGUAUGUCUUCAAC